This 468-nucleotide ribosomal RNA is filed under the name uncultured bacterium. RNAcentral describes it as "partial 16S ribosomal RNA". It matches the Rfam family "Bacterial small subunit ribosomal RNA", at positions 28 to 507 of the family's 1533-position model. The record is from RNAcentral.
GACGAACGCUGGCGGCGUGCUUAACACAUGCAAGUCGAACGGAAAGGCCCUGCUUUUGUGGGGUGCUCGAGUGGCGAACGUGUGAGUAACACGGGAGUAACCUGCCCUUGACUUUGGGAUAACUUCAGGAAACUGGGGCUAAUACCGGAUAGGAGCUCCUGCUGCAUGGUGGGGGUUGGAAAGUUUCGGCGGUUGGGGAUGGACUCGCGGCUUAUCAGCUUGUGGGUGGGGUAGUGGCUUACCAAGGCUUUGACGGGUAGCCGGCCUGAGAGGGUGACCGGCCACAUUGGGACUGAGAUACGGCCCAGACUCCUACGGGAGGCAGCGGUGGGGAAUAUUGCAGAAUGGGAGGAAGCCUGAUGCAGCAACGCCGCGUGCGGGAUGACGGCCUUCGGGUUGUAAACCGCUUUCGCCUGGGACGAAGCGUGAGUGACGGUAAUGGGUAAAGAAGCACCGGCUAACUACGUG